Molecule: ribosomal RNA, 144 nt
Filed under: uncultured eukaryote
Lineage: Eukaryota
Description: partial small subunit ribosomal RNA
Rfam family: Eukaryotic small subunit ribosomal RNA
Source: RNAcentral
AGUUGGUGGAGUGAUUUGUCUGGUUAAUUCCGAUAACGAACGAGACCUUAACCUGCUAAAUAGGGGCGAGAACUUCGGUUUUCGACUCACUUCUUAGAGGGACUUUGCGUGUUUAACGCAAGGAAGUUUGAGGCAAUAACAGGU